CGAGAGCUUACAGGACACAUAACAAUUAUUUAGUCUCAAACCGUCUCAUUUCAAUUUCCUUUCUAGCAAUUCUUGAUAGUCUUUGAUAUCUGAUGGUCUAGCCAGCAGAUAAACAUUGAGCGUUUUCUGAUGGACACAGUACUGGCACCAGAAACUGAUGAGAAAACAUUGGCUAGUGUCAUUAAUAAUUUUUUGUUUGCCGCCAGUGUUCUUGAACAUCAGUUCCAAUUUUAAAAAC
Pelobates cultripes (western spadefoot toad) is the source of this 238-nucleotide non-coding RNA. Lineage: Eukaryota; Metazoa; Chordata; Amphibia; Anura; Pelobatidae. The record is from the annotation of a GenBank genome assembly.